CAGCCGCCGCGGUAAUACCAGCCCCGCGAGUGGUCGGGACGGUUAUUGGGCCUAAAGCGCCCGUAGCCGGCCCGGCAAGUCCCUCCUUAAAGCCUCGGGCCCAACCCGAGGACGGGGGGGAUACUGCCGGGCUAGGGGGCGGGAGAGGCCGGCGGUACUCCCGGGGUAGGGGCGAAAUCCGUUAAUCCCGGGAGGACCACCAGUGGCGAAGGCGGCCGGCUGGAACGCGCCCGACGGGGAGGGGCGAAAGCCGGGGGAGCGAACCGGAUUAGAUACCCGGGUAGUCCCGGCGGUAAACGAUGCGGGCUAGCUGUUGGGCGGGCUUAGAGCCCGCCCAGUGGCGCAGGGAAGCCGUUAAGUCCGCCGCCUGGGGAGUACGGCCGCAAGGCUGAAACUUAAAGGAAUUGGCGGG
Molecule: ribosomal RNA, 412 nt
Filed under: uncultured microorganism
Description: bacterial SSU rRNA
Rfam family: Archaeal small subunit ribosomal RNA
Source: RNAcentral